This 253-nucleotide ribosomal RNA is filed under the name uncultured bacterium. Its description in RNAcentral is "partial 16S ribosomal RNA". It matches the Rfam family "Bacterial small subunit ribosomal RNA", at positions 524 to 776 of the family's 1533-position model. The record is from RNAcentral.
UACGUAGGGCGCAAGCGUUAUCCGGAGUUACUGGGCGUAAAGCGCGGGCAGGCGGCUCGAUGCGUCCGAUGUGAAAUCUCCUCGCUCAACGGGGAGAGGCCAUUGGAAACGGUCGGGCUGGAGGGCAGUAGAGGCAGGCGGAAUUCCGGGUGGAGUGGUGAAAUGCGUAGAGAUCCGGAGGAACACCAGAGGCGAAGGCGGCCUGCUGGGCUGCUCCUGACGCUGAAACGCGAAAGCCAGGGGAGCGAACGGG